This 263-nucleotide ribosomal RNA is filed under the name uncultured Staphylococcus sp. RNAcentral's name for it is "partial 16S ribosomal RNA". It matches the Rfam family "Bacterial small subunit ribosomal RNA", at positions 99 to 354 of the family's 1533-position model. Lineage: Bacteria; Bacillati; Bacillota; Bacilli; Caryophanales; Staphylococcaceae. The record is from RNAcentral.
CGGGCGGGUGAGUAACACGUGGAUAACCUACCUAUAAGACUGGGAUAACUUCGGGAAACCGGAGCUAAUACCGGAUAAUAUAUUGAACCGCAUGGUUCAAUAGUGAAAGACGGUUUUGCUGUCACUUAUAGAUGGAUCCGCGCUGCAUUAGCUAGUUGGUAAGGUAACGGCUUACCAAGGCAACGAUGCGUAGCCGACCUGAGAGGGUGAUCGGCCACACUGGAACUGAGACACGGUCCAGACUCCUACGGGAGGCAGCAGGA